AUUGAACGCUGACGGCAGGCUUAACACAUGGAAGUCGAGCGAGCGGGGUACGGGUGUGGAAUGUCUGGUAAACUGCCUGAUGGCGGGGGGUAACUAAUGGAAACGGUAGCUAAUACCACAUAACAUCAGUUGUGCCUAGAUGUGAUUAGCUAGGAGGUGGGGUAACGGCUCACCUAGGCGACGAUCCCUAGCUGGUCUGAGAGGAUGACCAGCCACACGGGAAGUGAGACACGGUCCAGACUCCUACGCGAGGCAGCAGUGGGGAAUAUGGCACGAUGGGCGAAAUCCUGAUGCAGCCAUGCCGCUGAUGGGAAGAAGGCCUUCGGGUUGUAAAGCACUUUCAGCGGGGAGGCGUUACCCGCAGAAGAAGCACCUGCUAAUUCCGUGCCAGCAGCCGCGGUAAUAC
RNAcentral lists this ribosomal RNA (406 nucleotides) under uncultured bacterium. Its description in RNAcentral is "partial 16S ribosomal RNA". It matches the Rfam family "Bacterial small subunit ribosomal RNA", at positions 30 to 526 of the family's 1533-position model. The record is from RNAcentral.